UAGGAACUGAGAAGUGGUCUGUGGUCCCCACCUGCAGAACCACUCCUUUAUUGGGGGUGUCUUGCUAAUUGCCUAUAAUUUCCACCUGUUGUCUAUUCCAUUUGCACAACAGCAUGUGAAAUUUAUUGUCAAUCAGUGUUGCUUCCUAAGUGGACAGUUUGACUUGGAGUUACAUUGUGUUGUUUAAGUGUUCACUUUAUUUUUUGGAGCAGUGUAUAUAUUUUUAAAUGUGACUAACAGAAAUGGAAUAAUGUGUCCCUGAACAAAGGGGGGGGGGUCAAAAUCAAAAGUAACAGUCAGUAUCUGGUGUGACCACCAGCAGUGCUGCAGUGCAUUUCCUCCUCAUGGACUGCACCAGAUUUGCCAGUUCUUGCUGUGAGAUGUUACCCCACUCUUCCACCAAGUCACCGGCAACAGGACCCAGACGUGCUCAAUGGGAUUGAGAUCUGGGCUCUUCGCUGGCCAUGGCAGAACACUGACAUUCCUGUCCUGCAGGAAAUCAGGACAGCAAGCGAGCAGUAUGGCUGGUGGCAUUGUCAUGCUGGAGGGUCAGGUCAGGAUGAGCUUGUAGGAAGGGUACCACAUGAGGGAGGAGGAUGUUGUCCCUGUAAAGCACAGAGUUGAGAUUGCCUGCAAUGACAACAAGCUCAGUCCGAUGAUGCUGUGACACACCGCCCCAGACCAUGACGGACCCUCCACCUCCAAAUCGAUCCCGCUCCAGAGUACAGGCCUCGGUGUAACGCGAAUCUGACCAUCACCCCUGGUGAGACAAAACCGCGACUCAUCAGUGAAGAGCACUUUUUGCCAGUCCUGUCUGGUCCAGCGACGGUGGGUUUGUGCCCAUAGGCGACAUUGUUGCCGGUGAUGUCUGGUGAGGACCUGCCUUACAACAGGCCUACAAGCCCUCAGUCCACCCUCUCUCAGCCUAUUGCGGACAGUCUGAGCCCUGAUGGAGGGAUUGUGCGUUCCUGGUGUAACUCGGGAAGUUGUUGUUGCCAUCCUGUAUCUGUCCCGCAGGUGUGAUGUUUGGAUGUACCGAUCCUGUGCAGGUGUUGUUACACGUGGUCUGCCACUGCGAGGACGAUCAGCUGUCCGUCCUGUCUCCCUGUAGCGCUGUCUUUGGCGUCUCACAGUACGGACAUUGCAAUUCAUUGCCCUGGCCACAUCUGCAGUCCUCAUGCCUUCUUGCAGCAUGCCUAAGGCACAUUCAUGCAGGAACCCCACUAAUCUACAGACGGAAACGGAUGAGGUGGCUAAAAACAGACCUCCCUCCAUCUUCUGCCAGCUUGCUACCUAUGGCCCGGCUAGCUGUCUGAAUCUCACUGGACCCUUAUGAUCACUCGGCUAAGCAUGCCUCUCUUUAAUGUCAAUAUGCCUUGUCCAUUGCUGUUCUGGUUAGUGUUUAUUGGCUUAUUUCACUGUAGAGCCUCUAGCCCUGCUCAUUAUACCUUAUCCAACCUUUCAGUUCCACCACCCACACAUGCUAUGACAUCUUCUGGUUUCAAUGAUGUUUCUAGAGACAAUAUAUCUCUCAUCAUCACUCAAUGCCUAGGUUUACCUCCACUGUAUUCACAUCCUACCAUACCUUUGUCUGUACAUUAUACCUUGAAGCUAUUUAUCGCCCCCAGAAACCUGCUCCUUUUACUCUCUAUUCCGGACGACAUAGACGACCAAUUCUCAUAGCUUUUAGCCGUACCCUUAUCCUACUCCUCCUCUGGUCCUCUGGUGAUGUAGAGGUGAGUCCAGGCACUGCAGUGCCUAGCUCCACUCCUGCUCCCCAGGCGCUCUCUUUUGAUGACUUCUGUAACCGUAAUAGCCUUGGUUUCAUGCAUGUUAACAUUAGAAGCCUCCUCCCUAAGUUUGUUUUAUUCACUGCUUUAGCACACUCUGCCAACCCGGAUGUCCUAGCCGUGUCUGCAUCCUGGCUUAGGAAGUCCACCAAAAACUCUGAAAUCUUCAUCCCUAACUACAACAUUUUCAGACAAGAUAGAACGGCCAAAGGGAUAGAGAUAGCCUGCAGACUUCUGUCCUACUAUCCAGAGAGUACUGGUGAGACAGACGGUGGUGAGGCUGAGGCAGGCUGUGAUGCAUGGAGGAGGAGGCAGAGGAGACACAGAAAGAGAGGAAGCCAGCAGAGAGAAAGGUUCCAUGACUUUAUGGAGACAUUUCUUCCCAUUCUUUCCAAGAAGUUGGAUACACAACAUCAACACUCCCAGUAAACUGGACACAUGAAUAUUUGUUGUGCUACAAGAGCUACACCAGAGCACCCACACAGACCAAGUCUCAAGGAACAGGUUGGCAAGGACACAGGAGAGGCAUCAUGGGAGGAACAAAACGGGAUAAGAAAUGUGACGACUGACUGAGUGAAAGAAGAAAACGUCAGAGAAAGAAGGAAAGAGAGAAGGAUUGUGCGUUCUCUACUUUCUCAGAAGUGCAGCCCCUAAAUUCCUGUUACUAUGCCUGAGAGAGGGAGGGCAGCAGACCAGUCAAAAUGAACCCCUACGUCACCUCUCACUUUAGGAGGGAUCUCUUUCCCCACUUCCACUUGUUGUAGAGGCUUCUCUUCUCUUCACCCCUCUCUUACUGUUUGUGUGACAUGGG
This 2601-nucleotide long non-coding RNA is filed under the name Salmo salar (Atlantic salmon). RNAcentral's name for it is "lncRNA (ENSSSAG00000118551.1)". The record is from RNAcentral. Lineage: Eukaryota; Metazoa; Chordata; Actinopteri; Salmoniformes; Salmonidae.